RNAcentral lists this long non-coding RNA (491 nucleotides) under Mus musculus (house mouse). RNAcentral describes it as "growth arrest specific 5". The record is from RNAcentral. Lineage: Eukaryota; Metazoa; Chordata; Mammalia; Rodentia; Muridae.
CUUUCGGAGCUGUGCGGCAUUCUGAGCAGGAAUGGCAGUGUGGACCUCUGUGAUGGGACAUCUUGUGGGAUCUCACAGCCAGUUCUGUGGCAAAGGAGGAUGAAGGCUUACGAGGAAGCUGGAUAACAGAGCGAGCGCAAUGUGCUAGAAUAGAAGACCAGAAAAUGAAAUGGUGGAGUUUGAGGCUGGAUAGACAGUUUGAAAGUUAACUGGUUGCAUGCUUGUUCAUUUGGCUGGCUUGCUUGGGUACAAAUAAUGGUUUGAAUAAAGAAAGGUAUUAAUGGGUCACCUCAAGUGAAGGCACUGCAAACACAAUGAUUGGUCAUUCUGAAUUUCCGGUCCUUCAUUCUGAAUUUCAAAGGCUCCUGUGACAAGUGGACAUGCAGUGACUGCACCUUUGUUUCUGAGGUGCCUGGAUGGAGGCUCAAAUAGAAGAUGGUGUCAGAUAUAUUGUGUUAAAAUUUUACCAUUAAAGUGUAUUAUAACAUGAA